Molecule: long non-coding RNA, 1479 nt
Organism: Capsicum annuum
Lineage: Eukaryota; Viridiplantae; Streptophyta; Magnoliopsida; Solanales; Solanaceae
Exons: 3
Source: RefSeq, a predicted model, not a curated record
AAUAGGUUCAUCACCUAUUUGAACAUCUUCGGCCCAAAAUGGGCCAAGAAAGUCAACCACAAGUAGGCCCCUUUAAAGGGUUAAAUAACAGCCCAUACGACUCACUUGUAACCAGUAAAAAAUUUAGAAUUGUAGAGCUUUAUCUUAUAUUCUCUAUUAGCUUCAUAUAGCAGCCAUCAAAUGCCUUUCGUUCUUGGAUAUUAUUCUUCUAUUCAAGCUUAGUUGAAAUAGGGUUCAAGCUCUUGAAGAAGUCCAAGUUAGGAGAAGUAAAAAUCUCCACCAAGUAAGCUAAGUUGGAGAGGACAACCUAAACAUUAAAGAAUAAAAGUUUUCUCAAGUGGUAUUUCUAUUUAGCAAGAGGAUGUUCUGGUGCUUUAUAAACGUUGGGACAACCAUGGAGGAGUGUAACAUCUAUCUUCAAUUAUGAGUUCAUUGAAGCAUUUUAAGUGUAAUAUAAAUCAAAACUCACAAGAUAGUGAUCGUAAGUCAUGAGUUCACAUUUUCCCUGCCACAUAGUGAUGUUUAGGAACUAUUUGAUGUAUAGUAUGAUACGAUAUGUUGCAGGAUGUAUGAAGAAGUUGUGGAGAUAUUAAAAGUUAUAAAUAUUGCAGGGUAUGGUUUAUAUGAUACACCACUUAAUUUGGUGUUGUGAGAGUACCUUACUAAUUAUCCGAGAAAAUAAAGAAAGGAUAAAAGAGGAAAAUGGUCUUGAUUUACUUCAUAGAAAUAGCAAUUUUUUAUUCUGAUAAUCCAUUUCACUAAAUAUAAGAUUCUAGAUGACCAUAAUUAGUAGAAAAUAAAUAUCGUACAUUCUAUAAAUGCACAUAGGGUAUGUUAGUAUGAUGAAAAUCUUUCAUUAUUAGUACUGCAUGCGUCUCAUAUUAGUUAAUACCAUAUUAUAUAUACAUAUUUCAAAUUAUUCGUCCAUUUAGUAAAUAAAGAUAAAAUUAAUUAAAAGCUUCUCAAUUUACCGCUGCAACUAAUAUGUUUUGAAAGUGUAAAAACAAAUUUGUAAAGUUUCAAGUAUUUAAAGGGGUAAAUUAGUAAAACCAUCCUUCUUAUUUUUUUUAAGAAGCCUGCUAACGUGAAAGUGACCAGCAAAUAUGUGUCGGAGGGAGUACUCCUAACUACUCUCUUCAUUUCAACUUAUUUGACUUGUGUAUUAAAAAUAAUUAUUUUAAUUCACUUAUAUAAUUUAUAAAAUUAAUAAAAUUAAGAGAAUUUUAUCAUAUUUUUUUUCUUUUUAUCCUUAGUAUUAAAUAACUAAAUAAAAUAGUAAUAGUUAAAUAUAGUAUUUAAAAGUAUCAUAAAUAGGGUUGAAUUGAUAAAAUAUACAUUUAAUUAAAGUUUCGUUAAUAAAUCUAUCAGGUCAAUAGAGAUCAAGUAAUAUGAAAUAGAUAGGAAAGGAUCCCCUCCAGUAGAAUUGAGUCUAGAAAUGCACAAAGCUACUUUUUAUUUAUGCCAGGUAUACAAAGACAA